CGCGUGCACUGGUACGGUCGGGCCUUUCCCUCUGGGGAACCGCAUGCCCUUCACUGGGUGUGUCGGGGAACCAGGACUUUUACUUUGAAAAAAUUAGGGUGUUCAAAGCAGGCUUAUGCUCGGAUACAUUAGCAUGGAAUAAUAGAAUAGGACGUGCGGUUCUAUUUUGUUGGUUUCUAGGACCGCCGUAAUGAUUAAUAGGGACAGUCGGGGGCAUCAGUAUUCAAUUGUCAGAGGUGAAAUUCUUGGAUUUAUUGAAGACUAACUACUGCGAAAGCAUUUGCCAAGGAUGUUUUCAUUAAUCAGGAACGAAAGUUAGGGGAUCGAAGACGAUCAGAUACCGUCGUAGUCUUAACCAUAAACUAUGCGAACUAGGGAUCGGACGAUGUUAUUAUUUGACUCGUUCGGCACCUUACACGAAAGUACAAGUUUCUGCGUUCCGGGGGGAGUAUGGUCGCAAGGCUGAAACUUAAAGAAAUUGACGGAAGGGCACCACCAGGAGUGGAGCCUGCGGCUUAAUUUGACUCAACACGGGGAAACUCACCAGGUCCAGACACAAUGAGGAUUGACAGAUUGAGAGCUCUUUCUUGAUUUUGUGGGUGGUGGUGCAUGGCCGUUCUUAGUUGGUGGAGUGAUUUGUCUGCCUAAUCGCGAUAACGAACGAGACCUUAACCUGCUAAAUAGCCCGUAUUGCUUCUGCAGUACGCUGGCUUCUUAGAGGGACUAUCGG
This 730-nucleotide ribosomal RNA is filed under the name uncultured eukaryote. RNAcentral's name for it is "SSU rRNA". It matches the Rfam family "Eukaryotic small subunit ribosomal RNA", at positions 671 to 1426 of the family's 1831-position model. The record is from RNAcentral.